CCUACGGGGGGCAGCAGUGAGGAAUAUUGGUCAAUGGGCGGGAGUCUGAACCAGCCAUGCCGCGUGAGGGAAGACGGAUCUAUGAGUUGUAAACUUCUUUUGUAAAGGAAUAAACCUGGAGACGUGUAUUCAGCUGCAAGUACUGUACGAAUAAGGAUCGGCUAACUCCGUGCCAGCAGCCGCGGUAAUACGGAGGAUCCAAGCGUUAUCCGGAUUUAUUGGGUUUAAAGGGUGCGUAGGCGGACUGUUAAGUUAGCGGUGAAAUGUCCGAGCUUAACUCGGGAACUGCCUUUAAUACUGGGGAGCUAGAGAGUGUAUGCGGUAGGCGGAAUGGAUGGUGUAGCGGUGAAAUGCUUAGAGAUCACACAGAACACCGAUUGCGAAGGCAGCCUACCAAUCUAUAUCUGACGUUGAGGCACGAAAGCGUGGGGAGCAAACAGGAUUAGAUACCCGAGUAGUC
This 460-nucleotide ribosomal RNA is filed under the name uncultured bacterium. RNAcentral's name for it is "partial 16S ribosomal RNA". It matches the Rfam family "Bacterial small subunit ribosomal RNA", at positions 338 to 795 of the family's 1533-position model. The record is from RNAcentral.